UACGUAGGUGGCAAGCGUUGUCCGGAAUUACUGGGCGUAAAGGGUGCGUAGGUGGUUUCUUAAGUCAGAGGUGAAAGGCUACGGCUCAACCGUAGUAAGCCUUUGAAACUGGGAAACUUGAGUGCAGGAGAGGAGAGUGGAAUUCCUAGUGUAGCGGUGAAAUGCGUAGAUAUUAGGAGGAACACCAGUUGCGAAGGCGGCUCUCUGGACUGUAACUGACACUGAGGCACGAAAGCGUGGGGAGCAAAUAGGAUUAGAUACCCCGGUAGUCCCUGAGCGGG
RNAcentral lists this ribosomal RNA (281 nucleotides) under uncultured prokaryote. RNAcentral describes it as "partial 16S ribosomal RNA". It matches the Rfam family "Bacterial small subunit ribosomal RNA", at positions 524 to 803 of the family's 1533-position model. The record is from RNAcentral.